GAUGAACGCUGGCGGCGUGCCUAAUACAUGCAAGUCGAGCGAACAGACGAGGAGCUUGCUCCUCUGACGUUAGCGGCGGACGGGUGAGUAACACGUGGAUAACCUACCUAUAAGACUGGGAUAACUUCGGGAAACCGGAGCUAAUACCGGAUAAUAUAUUGAACCGCAUGGUUCAAUAGUGAAAGACGGUUUUGCUGUCACUUAUAGAUGGAUCCGCGCCGCAUUAGCUAGUUGGUAAGGUAACGGCUUACCAAGGCAACGAUGCGUAGCCGACCUGAGAGGGUGGUCGGCCACACUGGGACUGCGACGCGGUCCAGGCUCCUGCGGGAGGCCGCAGUAGGGAAUCUUCCGCCAUGGGCGAAAGCUUGACGGAGCAACGCCGCGUGAGUGAUGAAGGUCUUCGGAUCGUAAAACUCUGUUAUUAGGGAAGAACAAAUGUGUAAGUAACUAUGCACGUCUUGACGGUACCUAAUCAGAAAGCCACGGCUAACUACGUG
RNAcentral lists this ribosomal RNA (497 nucleotides) under uncultured bacterium. RNAcentral's name for it is "partial 16S ribosomal RNA". It matches the Rfam family "Bacterial small subunit ribosomal RNA", at positions 28 to 507 of the family's 1533-position model. The record is from RNAcentral.